UUUGAGCGGUAGCCUAAUUCAAAUUCAUGAAAACUGAGUUUGAAGCGGAGGAACCAUGUAUUUGGGGCAAAUCUUAAUUGAGAGACACCUUCCAGUCUUAGCCCGUCAGCUAACUCCGUCGGCAAUGGAAGGAACCU
This 137-nucleotide small RNA is filed under the name Raphidiopsis brookii. RNAcentral's name for it is "c-di-AMP sequence". It matches the Rfam family "c-di-AMP riboswitch aptamer (ydaO/yuaA leader)". Rfam says of the family: This family represents a conserved RNA structure found upstream of the ydaO and yuaA genes in Bacillus subtilis and related genes in other bacteria. The ydaO/yuaA element is thought to act as a genetic "off" switch for the ydaO and yuaA genes in its native state. Lineage: Bacteria; Bacillati; Cyanobacteriota; Cyanophyceae; Nostocales; Aphanizomenonaceae. The record is from RNAcentral.